RNAcentral lists this ribosomal RNA (200 nucleotides) under uncultured bacterium. RNAcentral's name for it is "partial 16S ribosomal RNA". It matches the Rfam family "Bacterial small subunit ribosomal RNA", at positions 30 to 232 of the family's 1533-position model. The record is from RNAcentral.
AUUGAACGCUGGCGGCAUGCUUUACACAUGCAAGUCGAACGGUAACAGGCCGCAAGGUGCUGACGAGUGGCGAACGGGUGAGUAAUACAUCGGAACGUGCCCAGUAGUGGGGGAUAGCCCGGCGAAAGCCGGAUUAAUACCGCAUACGACCUACGGGUGAAAGCGGGGGAUCGCAAGACCUCGCGCUAUCGGAGCGGCCG